GCUCUACUAGAUAUGAUUAGGAUUGGUUCAAAUUUGAUUUGAAUUUGAGUUCAAAGGAUCUUUGAUUUUGAAUCAAACUAAUCCAUCUCUAUCCUUAUCUAUCCUUGCCGCCAACUCUAUAAAAAGGGCUGAUUUUUGUGCGACAGAAAUCAGAUCAUCGAAAGAUCAUAGAGUGCGUGAGUUAGGGUUUCAUAAGGGGGCAUGAGGUAUUAGGGUGGGAAGCCCUAGUUGGUGUGUGAGAUUAGAGGAGAUCUUCCUCCUCUUGGGUGAGUGAAAACCUCGAUCUGAUCUAAGGUUUUGGGUGAAGGAAAAACAAAAGAGAGAAGAGAGUCUUCUUCCUUCCUUUCAUCAUCAGGUCCUCCUUGUCCAUCUUUGCAUUUCGGAGGAGUUCGUGAGAUCCGAAGAAGGACGUAAAUCAGCCAUCAGAAGAUUGUUGCACAAGCUAGCACUCUCGGGACGAUCGAUCAGUACAGAACUUCGAGUAGACCAACUGUAGAGGCUAGACAUCCUGUGCGACUGUGAGCAAUCAGCGAGACCUCAAGUCUUUGUGACACAGACGUGGUGAUCUGCUAUCCGC
RNAcentral lists this long non-coding RNA (577 nucleotides) under Elaeis guineensis (African oil palm). RNAcentral describes it as "long non-coding RNA (EGUI_LNC072518)". Lineage: Eukaryota; Viridiplantae; Streptophyta; Magnoliopsida; Arecales; Arecaceae. The record is from RNAcentral.